GAUGAACGCUGACGGCGUGCCUAAUACAUGCAAGUCGAGCGAAAGGACGAGUAGCUUGCUUCUCUGAUGUUAGCGGCGGACGGGUGAGUAACACGUGGAUAACCUACCUAUAAGACUGGGAUAACUGCGGGAAACCGGAGCUAAUAGCGGAGAAUAUUUUGAACCGCAUGGUUCAAAAGAGAAAGACGGUCUUGCUGUCACUUAUAGAUGGAUCCGCGCUGCAUUAGCUAGUUGGUAAGGUAACGGCUUACCAAGGCAACGAUGCAUAGCCGAGCAGGGAGGCGGGUCGGCCACCCUGGAACUUGUACACGGUCCAGACUCCUACGGUAGGCAGCAGUAUGGUAUCUUCCGCAAUGGUCGAAAGCCUUACGGAGCGACGCCGCGUGAGUUAUGACGGUCUUCGGUUCGUAAUGCUCUGUUAUUAGUGAAGAACAUAUGUGUAAGUAACUGUGCACAUCUUGACGGUACCUAAUCAGAAAGCCACGGCUAACUACGUG
RNAcentral lists this ribosomal RNA (497 nucleotides) under uncultured bacterium. RNAcentral describes it as "partial 16S ribosomal RNA". It matches the Rfam family "Bacterial small subunit ribosomal RNA", at positions 28 to 507 of the family's 1533-position model. The record is from RNAcentral.